This is a long non-coding RNA of Prionailurus viverrinus (fishing cat), 264 nucleotides long. RefSeq lists it as uncharacterized. The record is from RefSeq and is a predicted model, not a curated record. Lineage: Eukaryota; Metazoa; Chordata; Mammalia; Carnivora; Felidae. The transcript is spliced from 3 exons.
GAUAAGCCAAUAUAUCUGCCUGUUGAGCCUACAGUUAAAAAUAAUUAUAGAGAACAUGGUGAUGCUUCAGAAACUGUCAGUUUCUCUGGGGAGGAGGUCUUGACUGCAAUUCUUGGGUGAGAGUUUUGGACAAGGAAAACCCAGAAAGCUGAGACAUGGAGUGUCUUGGGGGAUGUAUUUUGUGCAUGUCUGUGGAAUUAGGAAGUGGGAGUACUGUUGUACUAGGCUUGGGCUCUCUUACUUGAGGAGAAGAAGGAUUCAGAG